UGAGCCCCUGUGCCGCCCCCA
RNAcentral lists this microRNA (21 nucleotides) under Pan troglodytes (chimpanzee). RNAcentral's name for it is "ptr-miR-1225". Lineage: Eukaryota; Metazoa; Chordata; Mammalia; Primates; Hominidae. The record is from miRBase by way of RNAcentral.